This is a long non-coding RNA of Lynx canadensis (Canada lynx), 311 nucleotides long. RefSeq lists it as uncharacterized. The record is from RefSeq and is a predicted model, not a curated record. Lineage: Eukaryota; Metazoa; Chordata; Mammalia; Carnivora; Felidae. The transcript has 3 exons.
UGGGGGUUUCGUCCUGCUCCGGAGACACUGCUUCGUAGCCCUUGUUGACGCGGAGCGGCUGUACCAUGGAUAGUUCUCCUCCAGUCACCCAAGAGAAGAUGCCUGAACUACAAACAUAACUUGGAUGAGCGAUAAUAGGUGUGGUACAUGGAACGAAGGAAUCUCAUCGGGGAAAUAUACUAUCCUGAAAUUCUGUCAUUUGCUUCUCUCAAGAAUGUGAACACUUUAACUCAAAUUGGAUUUAAACUUUUAUAGAGGCACAUAAACUUCUAUAGAGGCAUAUUUCAUAACUAAAUCUGAGGUAGGUUACA